UUAUUUAUUUUGCGAGGCAGACAGAGAGAAGUGUGAGAGAGAUACGUACGGGGAACUAGAGAGAGAUGGUGGUAAAAGCUCCUUCCUUCUCCCUCUUCCACUCUCUCGUAUCCUAGAACCAAAGUACUUGAGAGAGGCGGAAGAAAUUGAUGAAGAAUGAAGAAUGAAGAAUGAAGAAUGAAGAAAGGAAGAGCAAGAGCAAAGAGCAUGUCCCAUGGCUCGGAUGGAACGAAGAGCGUAGAUAGCUUCGAGUGCAAGAUACCUGCUUCAGCUCUCUGAUUGUUUGUUUCUUCUCUGUUGAAUCGAGACGUGAGAGAAGAUACAGAUUUGGUUUCUUGAAUGAAGCGGCCUUAGAUGAGGGCAUUUCCCUUUCAUGUCCGGAGGAAAGGGGGCUCAGAAGCCGCGGAAAGAGUAUUAGAGGCAAAGCGAGCUUUUUUCUCGGCGAAUAACGGGUCAAAGCUAGGGAUUCAAGAGGGAGGGGAACCAAGAUCGGUGCUUGAUCGCAGGAGCCCUAGCCCUCCCACCUCCACAGCCACAGUGUCUUCUUCCUUGGGCGGCUCAGGUUCAUCCGACAACGCCGGAGUGGCGGCGGUCUCCGAGUCCGCUGCAGGGGAGGGCGGCGGCGGCGGUGCAGGCUGGAAGGAAGAGUGGGCGGCCGAGCUGCACCCGGUACCAGCCGGCCUUGACCUGGGCUUCAACGCGAGUGGUGCAAAAUGCGGCCUUGGAGUCGACGACUGGGAGACGAUUCUCUCCGAGGAUUCCGCCAUCUCCCCCGUCCGCGAGCAGACUUUUCUCGGUUGGAUCAUGGGCGAUGCCGACCACCCUACCUCAGCCCGUCUGAAGCAGCAUCUCUUCGCUCAUAGUCCGCCGGAUUUCGAUGUAAAUAAUGGCGGCUUUGGAUUGGGGAUUCUCGACCCAGGCAACGGAAGCAUUGAAGACGUGGGUACUUUCGUCGCCGCCAACAGUGUUGGAGGCGACUUUCCAUUCCCGAGUAGUAACAGCUGGGUAUCGCCGCCGUCCACCGUCACCAGCAUCAAAGAGACCCCCAUUUUCCCCACAAACGAUAGUCAGCUAAUCUCGCCGCCUCUUCCGCCGGCGGGCAACUUCGCCUCGCUGUUCUCUUUGCCACCGGGAAUAUACUUGCCGGACCCUUUGGAGGAUAAGCUGCAGCUAUUUGGCUCAAGCUUUCUCUUCAAUCAUCAAUCCGCCGCCCCGAAUCCGUCCUUCUUUCUCAGAGUAGGGCAGGCAGAGAAGCAGCAGCUGUCUCACCUCCUCAUCCCUACACAACCGAAGCUCCCUUUUCUUGCAUCUGGCGGUAGCUCGGACAUCUUCCCUAGGCAGCAACUCGAGCAGCAACAGCAAAAUCCAGGAUUUUCUCCGCCUCAGCUCCAACAAAGGUCGGUGAAACCCAAACUGUCAGUUUCCGGUGAUGAUGCGGCAACACCUGUAGCGGCUCAGCAGCUACAACAGGCAUUGGUUGACCUGCUUAUCGAAGCUGCAAAGAUGGUCGAGGUUAGAAAUUUCGUCGGCGCGCACAGGAUAUUGGCGCGGCUCAAUCACCAGCUCCCUUCCCCAUCAGGGAAGCCCCUUCUCCGCUCUGUCUUCUACUUCAAGGAGGCACUGCAACGUGUACUCUGUAACGGGCCUAUUCCUGAUCUCUCUUGCAAUGCAUCCUCCCUUCAUCAGCCGAGUCCAUUGUCAAUGCAAUUUGACAUUUUGCACAAGCUCAGUGCCUACAAGACAUUCUCCGAAGUCUCUCCCAUCGUCCAAUUCUCCAACUUUACCUGCAUUCAAGCGCUCUUGGAAGAGCUUUGUACCUCCGACUACAUCCACAUCGUAGACUUCGACAUUGGAGUUGGUGGACAAUGGUCUUCCUUCAUGCAGGAGCUAGCACAGCGACGCCUCUCUUCUGCAAAUCCAGUGCGAAUGCUGAAAAUGACAGUGAUCGUGUCUAAUUAUGUCCAGGACAAUCUGGAGCUCCACCUUGUACGGGACAAUCUCGCCCAUUUUGCAAGUGAUCUUAAUAUUCCCUUUGAAUUACGCUUCCAUAGUCUGGAAUCAUCCGAUGCCAUGGAGCUCCAUGUAACUGGAGGUGAAGCUGUUGCUGUAAAUCUCCCUAUAGGCUCUGGAAACCUUCCCUUACCAUCCAUUCUCCGCCUCGUCAAGCAACUCUCCCCGAAGAUUGUCGUCUCAGUCGACCAAGGUUGGGAUUGGAGUGACUUGUCAUUCUCGCAGCAUUUCCUACAUACUUUUCAGUCCUCCAUGGUGCUUAUGGAUUCCAUCGAUGCCACUGGGACUAACCAAGAUAUGACAGCCAAAAUUGAGAAGUUUCUGCUUCAACCAAGGAUAGAAAGUUCUAUUCUCGGGCGAUAUCUUGCUCCCGUCAAGAUACUUCCCUGGAGAACACUCUUUACUACCUCUGGUUUUAUCCCUAUUCAACUCAGCAGUUUCAUGGAGACACAGGCCGACUGCCUUUUGAAGAGAGUGCAGGUGAGAGGGUUUCAUGUGGAGAAGCGUCAAGCGACUCUUAACCUCUACUGGCAACGCAAGGAGCUCGUCUCAGUGUCAGCUUGGAGGUGCUGAAGAUCAAGCUACCUGGUUACAUUCAUGUAAUCCUUGUGUCCUGAUUCUUGAAUACCGGCUAGAAACACAAGUAAAAAAACUUCACUUUUCAUUCUCAAGCAAAAGGAUAGUUUACAGGCACUAGCUUGGCAAUGGCUGAAAUUAAGUGGAAUUGUCAAUCGUCCUGCAGCUGCUACAGGGAUUAAUGGUGCGAAAACACAGUCAAAUUUCAAAUUGUAGUUCCAGGGUUCAUCGGUGCUUUUGUCCAUAUCUAGUUAGUGAAUCAAACUUUGUAUGGUUGUCAGUACUGAAAUAUUGUAAUGUCGCCUAUUCUAAAACAAGAUCGUUCAUGGCUAA
RNA transcript from Zingiber officinale, 2919 nucleotides. It is a transcript of the gene named scarecrow-like protein 27, with no coding region annotated. The record is from RefSeq and is a predicted model, not a curated record. The transcript is spliced from 2 exons. Lineage: Eukaryota; Viridiplantae; Streptophyta; Magnoliopsida; Zingiberales; Zingiberaceae.